CCCUGUUUUAUAACAUGUCAAAAUUUACUUUUAAAUGUAGAAGAAAAUAGCUGAAACAUAUCAUGGCAACUUCAGUGUAAACAUCAUGGCAAUUCAUGUGCAAUAGACACGGCAACUUUUAACAAAAAAAAUUGUCGAAAUAUAUUGAUAUGAGAUCUAGUUUCGAAGAUCUUGUCGCGAGGGAUUUAAUGGUGAAAACGGAUCUUCAAUCGGAUUUUUCAUUUAAGAGAUAAAACAUUUUAAAGACAGAAAAUCCAAAAAGAUUUCCACAUGCAUGCAUGCGGUGACAUGGCGUAGUCUGUGUGCUAUAGGGCGUGUGGGCGGGUUUGGCUCCCACCACACGUGUGGGCGUUUUUCUUUGAGACCGACGAUCCCGUUUCUAUCUCGAUUGAGGCAUGGAGCAGUUUUUUUUUCCUUUUUUUGUGAGGAAUGUCAAUUGAGCAGAAGAGCAAGACCUCCUAUACGCCGCAUUAUGCGGCAGGAAGUCGGGGCUUCGCAUACGCAGUACAACUCUGACUAGGCCGGCCCACGCAUGAGCUGCGAGCAGUGUAAAAAAAAGUAAGAAAAAAGCAGAGCGUCACACAGGAUUCGCUGUGCUGCAAAGACAGGUAGCUAGCCAUUGCUGCUUACUACUCCUAGUGGUACAAAGGCAACGCAAAUGCUAUAACACUAGAUAAAUCGCAUAAUCGGGUUAUUUCCAUUUUUUAGUCAUUUCUUGAAAAUACUAAAUAAACAUUUUUUAAAUGACGAACGUUUUCGCCAAGCACGCACGAGUUUGAAAAGUAGUGUAUUUUUUGGAAUUUUUAACCAAAUUGUAAAAUGGGAUUCAUUUUUGAACAUGUGUACAAAUUUUGAAAAACAGGAACCUUUUUUCAAAAUGUGAAAAAUAUUUGAAUUUGUGAAUGAAAUUUAAAGCAUGAACAUUUUUUGAAUUUCUGAACAAAUCUUUAAAAACGGGAACCUUUUUUAAUAGCAAUCAAAUUCAUGGGUGAGCCAAAACUUGUCUUUCUGUUCUUCCGUCGCUAUAGACAAGGUCUUCGUUUUUCAUGGGUGAGGAGCUUGAGCAGAGAUAAAGAAAAGGGGGUUAGAGUCACACCCACACCCAAACUCACACUAAGAUUUCCUGAAAACAACUGGUGUGCACAAAGCACAAAUUCUUGAGACAUGCAUGGUGACGUGAGCUGCCAAACUGAAGCAGGUAGCUACUCUGCUUCACCGACAUCUCAGUCCUACUAACCAUAUGCCAUGUACCCAUUCACCGACAUCUGGUGAACACUUGGACUCUUCAAAACUGAGCACACGAAACGGCACGAAACAGGUCAAUUCGCCUUGAUGAAUAUUACUAGUGGCAUGGCAACUCAGUUUAUCUGAUGAAUGUGUAGGCAUUACCAACUCAAUUCCACAGGAUUAAACUAAACCAGGCAGAAAAAUGCAGCAGCCCUUCAAAUCACAGGGUGGACAUGGAGCCUAGGGGGAAGAAGUCUAGUGCUAGUGUCCUACCACUGCUGCUGCUGCUGCUGCAACAACUCACAUUCUUGUCUUGGGAGUGAUACGUCUCCGUCGUAUCUAUAAUUUUUGAUUGUUCUAUGCCAAUAUUAUACAACUUUCAUAUACUUUUGUCAACUUUUUAUAUUAUUUUUGAGACUAACAUAUUGAUCCAGUACCCAGUGCCAGUUCCUGUUUGUUGCAUGUUUUUGUUUCGCAGAAUAUCCAUAUCAAACGGAAUCCAAACGGGAUAAAAACGGACGGAGAUUAUUUUUGGAAUAUUUGAAGAAUUCCGGAAGAAAAAUCCACGCGAGACGGNNNNNNNNNNNNNNNNNNNNNNNNNNNNNNNNNNNNNNNNNNNNNNNNNNNNNNNNNNNNNNNNNNNNNNNNNNNNNNNNNNNNNNNNNNNNNNNNNNNNNNNNNNNNNNNNNNNNNNNNNNNNNNNNNNNNNNNNNNNNNNNNNNNNNNNNNNNNNNNNNNNNNGCGGUUGAUGCCCUUCUUCGGCCGCAAGAAAGCUAAUUUUUGGGAAAAAAUCACGGCGAAGGUUUCAGUCCAAUCGAAGUUACGGAUCUCCAUAUAUAUAUGAAACGGUGAAAGGGCACCAGAAGAGAACGCAGAAACAGAGAGACAGAUCCAAUCUCGGAGGGGCUCUCGCCCCUCCCAUGCCAUGGAGGCCAAGGACCAGAGGGGAAACCCUUCUCCCAUCUAGGGAGGAGGUCAAGGAAGAAGAAGACGAAGGGGCCCCCUCUCCCCUUCUCUUCCGGUGGCACCGGAACGCUGCCGUGGCCAUCAUCAUCACCGCCAUCUUCACCAACAACUUCACCGCCAUCAUCACCAACUCUUCCCCCCUCUAUGCAGCGGUGUAACCUCUCUCUUACCGCUGUAAUCUCUACUUAAACAUGGUGCUCAACGCUAUAUAUUAUUUCCCAAUGAUGUAUGGCUAUCCUAUGAUGUUUGAGUAGAUCCGUUUUUUCUUAAUUGAUGAUCGUGAUUGGUUUGAGUUGCAUGUUUUAUUAUUUGUGCUGUCCUAUGGUGCUCUCUGUGUCGCGCAAGCGUGAGGGAUCCCCGCUAUAGGGUUUGCAAUAUGUUCAUGAUUUGCUUAUGGUGGGUGGCGUGAGUGACAGGAGCACAGACCCGAGUAAGUAGGUUGUUGCGUAUGGGAUAAAGAGGACUUGAUGCUUUAAUGCUAUGGUUGGGUUUUACCUUAAUGAUCUUUAGUAGUUGCGGAUGCUUGCUAGAGUUCCAAUCAUAAGUGCAUAUGAUCCAAGUAGAGAAAGUAUGUUAGCCUAUGCCUCUCCCUCAAAUAAAAUUGCAAUAAUGAUUACCGGUCUAGUUGUCGAUUGCCUAGAGACAAAUAACUUUCUCGUGACAAAAGCUCUCUACUAAAACUAAUUUAGUUGUGUCUUCAUCUAAACAGCCCCUAGCUUUUAUUUACGCUCUCUUUAUUUUCUUGCAAACCUAUCCAAAAACACCUACAAAGUACUUCUAGUUUCAUACUUGUUCUAGGUAAAGCGAACGUUAAGCGUGCGUAGAGUUGUAUCGGUGGUCGAUAGAACUUGAGGAAAUAUUUGUUCUACCUUUAGCUCCUCGUUGGGUUCGACACUCUUACUUAUCGAAAGAGGCUACAAUUGAUCCCCUAUACUUGUGGGUUAUCAGGGAGGCAGAAGAGGAGCACGGGCAUGGAGUUUAUGGGAUGAUCGAUGGGCUGCCGGUCCUGAGACAAGCCCAAGCUGAAUUGAGUUGACUGCCGCCACGUCAGCCCUGACAAGUGGGUCCCACAUGUCAUAAACGCUUUAAAAAUCGGCAAAACGAUCAUGAAACUUACUUGGUAGUUUUUUGUCAAAAAUUUAGCUUCAUCCGGUAGUUUUUGUUGACGUUUGGAAAGUGGUAGUUCUGUGGGACCGAAACUUGUAAUGUGGUAGUUUUUUGUUAAAUACUCUGAGAUGAAGGGAGUACUACUUACUCACAACACAUACGACCAACAAUGUUCAACUCUUUUCAACCGUCUUCACCGAAACGAAAUUAUAAUCGUCUCUGAGAAACCAACAAUGCCAGCAAAAAUAGAAGAAACAUUGUGGUACUUCAAGAUUUUGCACCUCCUUUGGGUCGUCUAUAUAUCAAAACAAACAGGGUACGCUCAACUUCGUCCUGCGGCCUCGUAGAUGUUGGAGAUGUGUUCCAUGGAAAAUACAAGGUUGCUCCUUCCACAACGUUUCACGAUGCAUACAAUAGAAUCUGCUAUGGCAUAUCAGCCUCCAGGAGCUCCCACCAGCAACCUUCCAUGUAAGCAGACGGAGCUGCAAUGUCAAUGGUGGCUAUCAGGAUAGUCCAUGAGCACACCAAGGACCAGACAACUAUCAUAGAUGAGUCAACGGCUCACAAGAGCUCAGCCGUAGAUGGUGAGCAACUCUUACAUCUCAGUAUGUUAGCUGCGAGAAUCUGGUCGUGGAUUGGUAGCCAACAGGAGUGAGGACAUAAUAUAUCAUUAGGAACUUCCCAGUACCUCCCAUGCUUAGGACGGAGUAAUUGAUAAGGCAAGAACAUGAGAGAAGAUGUAACAUGUAUGUUUUUGCGAGGAGGGGGGAGUAUAUAGGGCAUCUACAAAGCUAAGGNNNNNNNNNNNNNNNNNNNNNNNNNNNNNNNNNNNNNNNNNNNNNNNNNNNNNNNNNNNNNNNNNNNNNNNNNNNNNNNNNNNNNNNNNNNNNNNNNNNNNNNNNNNNNNNNNNNNNNNNNNNNNNNNNNNNNNNNNNNNNNNNNNNNNNNNNNNNNNNNNNNNNNNNNNNNNNNNNNNNNNNNNNNNNNNNNNNNNNNNNNNNNNNNNNNNNNNNNNNNNNNNNNNNNNNNNNNNNNNNNNNNNNNNNNNNNNNNNNNNNNNNNNNNNNNNNNNNNNNNNNNNNNNNNNNNNNNNNNNNNNNNNNNNNNNNNNNNNNNNNNNNNNNNNNNNNNNNNNNNNNNNNNNNNNNNNNNNNNNNNNNNNNNNNNNNNNNNNNNNNNNNNNNNNNNNNNNNNNNNNNNNNNNNNNNNNNNNNNNNNNNNNNNNNNNNNNNNNNNNNNNNNNNNNNNNNNNNNNNNNNNNNNNNNNNNNNNNNNNNNNNNNNNNNNNNNNNNNNNNNNNNNNNNNNNNNNNNNNNNNGUGAAGAAUUGUUACUUCUUUCCCCUUUCAUGCAUGGAGAUUGAUUGCUGCAUGCGAAUGCUCUUAUGGCUGACUAUAAAUUACAUUAUAGUCUAGUGGUCUUAGCAAAAAAAUUGAUGAUCUUGCAUUGUUUUUAAUGGUUUUGUUUGUAUUUGGCUAGGAGUUCCAUUUGGAAUGGAACCUUACAUCCAUGAUCUAGUUCUACUCUAGACAUAAUUUUCAAAAACAAAAUCUGCUAUUAGCAACAAAUGCACCUAAUAGCUACUCCCUCCAUUCCAUAAUAUAAGAUGCUAUUACAUCCAAUAUACUCACAUAUUGGAUGUAAUAACAUCUUAUAUUAUGGAACAUAGGGAGUAAUUGAAGGAAAUAUGCCCAAGAGGCAAUAAUGAAGUUCUUAUUUCAUAUUUCCUUAUUCAUGAUAAAGGUUUAUUAUUCAUGCUAGAAUUGUAUUGAUCGGAAACUUAAAUACAUGUGUGAAUACAUAAAAAAAUAAUGUGUCCCUAGUAGGCCUCUACUAGACUAGCUCGUUGAUCAAAGAUGGUUAAGGUUUCCUAACCAUGAACAUGAGUUGUCAUUUGAUAACGGGGUCACAUCAUUAGGAGAAUGAUGUGAUGGACAAGACCCAUCCGUUAGCCUAGCAUAUUGAUCAUUCAGUUUAUUGCUAUCGCUUUCUUCAUGUCAAAUACUUAUUCCUUCGACUAUGAGAUUAUGCAACUCCCGGAUACCGGAGGAAUAUACCUUGUGUGCUAUCAAACGUCACAACAUAACUGGGUGAUCAUAAAGAUGCUCUAUAGGUAUCUUCGAAGGUGUUUGGUGAGUUGGCAUAGAUCGAGAUUAGGAUUUGUCACUCCGAGUAUCGGAGAGGUAUCUCUGGGCCCUCUCGGUAAUACACAUCAUAAGCUUGCAAGCAAAUGACUAAGGAGUUAGUCACGAGGUGAUGUAUUACGGAAUGAGCAAAGUGACUUGCCGGUAACGAGAUUGAACUAGGUAUGAAGAUCCCGACGAUCGAAUCUCGGGCAAGUAACAUAUCGAUGGACAAAGGGAAUUACGUAUGUUGUCAUAACGGUUCGACCGAUAAAGAUCUUCGUAGAAUAUGUAGGAGCCAAUAUGGGCAUCCAGGUUCCGCUAUUUGUUAUUGACCGGAGAGGUGUCUCGGUCAUGUAUACAUAGUUCUCGAACCCGUAGGGUCCGCACGCUUAACGUUCGUUGACAAUAUAGUAUUAUAUGAGUUAUGUGAUUUGGUGACCGAAUGUUGUUCGGAAUCCCGGAUGAGAUGACGGGCAUGAAGAUGAGUCUUGAAAUGGUUGAGAGGUAAAGAUUGACAUAUAGGACGAUGGUAUUCGGACACCGGAAGUGUUUCGGGGGGUACCGGGUACUUAUCGGGUCACCGGAAAGGAGUUUCGGGCACCCCAACAAAGAUAUGGGCCUUAUGGGCCAAGAGAGGGAACACACCAGCCCACAAGGGGCUGGUGUGCCCCCAUAUCAGGUCGGCCUAUGAGGAGGAGAAGGAAAGAGGGGAGGGAAAGGAAAGUGUGGAGUAGGACUCCCCCUUCCUUCCCUCCCCCCUCACAAGUAGGUGGUUGCUUAGAGCUUAUGGCUAAGAAUGCCACCCGCCUUACACNNNNNNNNNNNNNNNNNNNNNNNNNNNNNNNNNNNNNNNNNNNNNNNNNNNNNNNNNNNNNNNNNNNNNNNNNNNNNNNNNNNNNNNNNNNNNNNNNNNNNNNNNNNNNNNNNNNNNNNNNNNNNNNNNNNNNNNNNNNNNNNNNNNNNNNNNNNNNNNNNNNNNNNNNNNNNNNNNNNNNNNNNNNNNNNNNNNNNNNNNNNNNNNNNNNNNNNNNNNNNNNNNNNNNNNNNNNNNNNNNNNNNNNNNNNNNNNNNNNNNNNNNNNNNNNNNNNNNNNNNNNNNNNNNNNNNNNNNNNNNCCACCUUGUUUAUACAAGGAAGUGGGGGCGCCGGGCAAGGCAGGGGCCCUAGGGGCCGGCGGCCAGCCCUAGGGGGCACCCGGGCUGCCUCCCCUCCCCCUCCCACCUAUAUAUAUGUGGGGAGGGGGCGCCACACAAGGACACAAGACUGUCUUAGCCGUGUGGGGCGCCCCCGUCCACCGUUUACUACCUCGGUCAUAUUUUCAUAGUGCUUAGGCGAAGCCCUGCGGAGAUCACAUCAUCAUCACCGUCACCACGCCGUUGUGCUGUAGGAUCUCAUCUACUACCUCGCCGUCUUGCUGGAUCAAGAAGGCGGAGGACGUCACCGAGCUGAACGUGUGCAGAACGCGGAGGUGUCGUGCGUUCCGUACUAGAUCGGUUAGAGCGCGAAGAAAGUUCGACUACAUCAACCGCAUUGUGAAACGCUUCCGCUUACGGUCUAUGAGGGUACAUAGACACACUCUCCCCCCUCGUUGCUAUGCAUCUGCAUGGAUAGAUCAUUGCGUGUGCGUAGAAAUUUUUUGUUUUCCAUGCAACGUUUCCCAACAGUGGCAUCAUGAGCCAGGUCUAUGCGUAGAUGAUAUGCACGAGUAGAACAGAAAGUGUUGUGGGCGGUGAUAGUCAUACUGCUUACCACCAACGUCUUAUUUUGAUUCGGCGGUAUUGUGGGAUGAAGCAGUCCGGAGCAACCUUACAUGUCCACAUACAUGAGACCGGUUCCACCGACAGACAUGCAACUAGUUUUGCAUAAAGGUGGCUGGCGGGUGUCUGUUUCUCCUACUUUAGUUGAAUCGAAUUUGACUGCGGCCGGUCUUUGAAGAAGGUUAAAACAGCAAACUUGAUGAAACACCAUUGUGGUUUUAUGCGUAGGUAAGAACGGUUCUUGCUAGAAGCCCGUAGCAGCCACGUAAAACUUGCAACAACAAAGUAGAGGACGUCUAACUUGUUUUUGCAGGGCAUGUUGUGAUGUGAUAUGGUCAAGACAUGACGUGAUAUACGUUAUUGUAUGAGAUGAUCAUGUUUUGUAAAGUUAUCGGCAACCAUCAGGAGCCUUAUGGUUGUCUCUUUAUUGUAUGAAAUGCAAACGCCAUGUAAUUGCUUUACUUCAUCGCUAUGCGUUAGCAAUAGUUGUAGAAGCAAUAGUUAGUGAGACGACCACGGCACAACGAUGGAGAUCAAGGUGUCGAGCCGGUGAUGAUGGAGAUCAUGACGAUGCUUUGGAGAUGGAGAUCAAAAGCACAAGAUGAUGAUGGCCAUAUCAUGUCACUUAUUUUGAUUGCAUAUGAGGUUUAUCUUUUAUGCAUCUUUAGCUUAGAACGGCGGUAGCAUUAUAAGAUGAUCCCUUCACUAAAUUUCAAGGUAAAAGUGUUCUCCUUGAGUAUGAACUGUUGCUACAGUUCGUCGUGUUGAGACACCAUGUGAUGAUCGGGUGUGAUAGACUCUACGUUCACAUACAACGGGUGCAAGACAGUUUUGCACAUGCGGAAUACUCGGGUUAAACUUGACGAGACAUGCAUGUACAUACAUGGUCUCGGAACACUAGAGAUCGAAAGGUCGAACGUGAAUCAUAUAGUAGAUAUGAUCAACAUAGAGAUGUUCACCAUUGAUGACUACUGCAUCUCACGUGAUGAUCAGACAUGGUUUAGUUGAUUUGGAUCAUGUAUUAUUUAGAUAACUUGAGGGAUGUCUAUCUAAGUGGUAGUUCUUAAGUAAUUUGAUUAAUUGAACAUAAUUUAUCAUGUACUUGAGGGAUGUCUAUCUAUGAAGAUUCCCUCUUAUGUAACCGACUCCAUGUAACCCUAGACCUCCCCGGUGUCUAUAUAAACCGGAGAGCAUAGUCCAGAUAGGACAGAUUCAUUACCAUAUACUCAUAGGAGAGACCUCUAGAGUUUAGCCAUUACGAUCUCGUGGUAGAUCAACUCUUGUAACACUCAUAUUCAUCAAGAUCAAUCAAGCAGGAAGUAGGGUAUUACCUCCAUAGAGAGGACCUGAACCUGGGUAAACAUCGUGUCCCCUGUCUCCUAUUACCAUUGAUCCUAGACGCACAGUUCGGGACCCCCUACCCGAGAUCCGCCGGUUUUGACACCGACAAUGAACUUCUAUUAAUUUGGUCACUUAUCUAUCCAUGAUAUUCUGUAAUGGUUUUUGACACACUUAAUUAUAUAUAAUGCAUGCAGAUGAACCGGCAAUGGAUGUAUGGUGACAGACACACCUCCGAGUACGUUAAGGGCGUGCAUAAUUUUCUCGAAGCGGCUGAGGCAAACAAGCAGAAUGGUUUUAUGUGCUGUCCAUGCCCUAUAUGUGGGAAUACGAAGUCUUACUCUGACCGGAAAAUCCUUCACAGCCACCUGCUUUAUAAGAGUUUCAUGCCACACUAUAAUGUUUGGACCAGGCACGGAGAAAUAGGGGUUAUGAUGGAAGACAGGGAAGAAGAAGGGGACGAUGACAACUAUGUGCCCCCUGAAUACGGUGAUGCUGCAACGUGGGAAGCCGCUGAAGAUCAAGAGGAACCAGACGAUGUGCCCGAUGAUGAUGAUCUCCGCCGGGUCAUUGUUGAUGCAAGGACACAGUGCGAAAGUCAAAAGGAGAAGCUGAAGUUCGAUCGCAUGUUAGAGGAUCACAAAAAAGGGUUGUACCCCAAAUGCGAAGAUGGCAACACAAAGCUCGGUACCGUACUGGAAUUGCUGCAAUGGAAAUCAAAGAAUGUUGUGCCUGACAAAGGAUUUGAGAAGCUACUGAAAAUAUUGAAGAAGAAACUUCCAAAGGAUAACGAAUUGCCCGACAGUAUGUACGCAGCAAAGAAGGUCGUAUGCCCUCUAGGAUUGGAGGUGCGGAAGAUACAUGCAUGCCCUAAUGACUGCAUCCUCUACCGUGGUGCGUACGAGGAUUUGAACGCAUGCCCAGUAUGCGGUGCAUUGCGGUAUAAGAUCAGACGAGAUGACCCUGGUGAUGUUGACGGCGAGCCCCCCGGGAAUUGGGUUCCUGCGAAGGUUAUGUGGUAUGCUCCUAUAAUACCACAGUUGAAACGUCUGUUCAGAAACGAAGAGCAUGCCAAGUUGAUGCGAUGGCGCAGAGAGGACCGUAAGAAAGACGGGAAGUUGAGAGCACCCGCUGACGGGUCGCAGUGGAGAAAAGUCGAGAGAAAGUACUGGGCUGAGUUUGCAGGUGACCCAAGGAACGUAUGGUUUGGUUUAAGCAUGGAUGGCAUUAAUCCUUUCGGGGAGCAGAGCAACAAUCACAGCACCUGGCCCGUGACUCUAUGUAUGUAUAACCUUCCUCCUUGGAUGUGCAUGAAGCGGAAGUUCAUUAUGAUGCCAGUUCUCAUCCAAGGCCCUAAGCAACCCGGCAACGACAUUGAUGUGUACCUAAGGCCAUUAGUUGAAGAACUUUUACAGUAGUGGAAUGGAAACGGUGUACGUGUGUGGGAUGAGCACAAACAGGAGGAAUUUAACUUGCACGCGUUGCUGUUUGUAACCAUCAAUGAUUGGCCCGCUCUCAGUAACCUUUCAGGACAGACAAACAAGGGAUACCACGCAUGCACGCACUAUUUAGCUGACACCGAAAGUAUAUACCUGGACAAAUGCAGGAAGAAUGUGUACCUGGGCCAUCGUCGAUUUCUUCCGACCAACCAUCAAUGUCGAAAGAAAGGCAAGCAUUUCAAAGGCGACGCAGAUCACAGGAAGAAGCCCGCCAUGCGUACCGGUGAACACGUACUUGCUAUGGUCAAUGAUUUACACGUAAUCUUUGGAAAGGGUCCCGGCGGACUAUCUGUUCCGAAUGACGCUGAGGGACGCGCACCCAUGUGGAAGAAGAAAUAUAUAUUUUGGGACCUACCCUACUGGAAAGACCUAGAGGUCCGCUCUUCAAUCGACGUGAUGCACGUGACGAAGAACUUUUGCGUGAACCUGCAAGGCUUCUUGGGCGUGUAUGGGAAGACAAAAAAUACACCGGAGGCACGGGAGGACCUGCAACGUUUGCACGAAAAAGACGGCAUGCCUCCAAAGCAGUAUGAAGGUCCUACCAGCUACGCUCUUACCAAAGAAGAGAAGGAAAUCUUCUUUGAAUGCCUGCUCAGUAUGAAGGUCCCGACUGGCUUCUCGUCGAAUAUAAAGGGAAUAAAAUAUGCCAAAGAAAAAGUUCAAUAACCUAAAGUCUCAUGACUGCCACGUGAUUAUGACGCAACUGCUUCCGGUUGCAUUGAGGGGGCUUCUACCGGAAAACGUCCGAUUAGCCAUUGUGAAGCUAUGUGCAUUCCUCAUGCAAUCUCUCAGAAGGUGAUCGAUCUAGAAAUAAUACCAAGGCUAAGGAGUGAUGUGGCGCAAUGUCUUGUCAGUUUCGAGCUGGUGUUUCCACCAUCCUUCUUCAAUAUCAUGACGUACGUCCUAGUUCAUCUAGUCGACGAGAUUGUCAUUCUGGGCCCUGUAUUUCUACACAAUAUGUUCCCCUUUGAGAGGUUCAUGGGAGUUCUAAAGAAAUAUGCAUGUAACCGCGCUAGGCCAGAAGGAAGCAUCUCCAUGGGCCAUCAAACAGAGGAUGUCAUUGGAUUUUGUGUUGACUUCAUUCCUGGCCUUAAGAAGAUUGGUCUCCCUCAAACGCGGUAUGAGGGGAGACUGACUGGAAAAGGCACGCUUGGAGGGGACUCAAUAAUAUGCAGGGACGGGCAUUCUUGGUCUGAAGCACACUACAUAGUUCUACAGAACUCUACCUUGGUGACCCCGUAUGUCGAUGAACACAAGAACAGUCUGCGCUCCAAACACCCAGAGCAGUGUGGUGACUGGAUUACAUGUGAACACAUCAGGACUUUCGGCGGUUGGUUGGAAACAUGUCUCAAAGGUGACAACACUGUUUGUGAUGAGUUGGACUCGUUGUCCAGGGGACCAUCUUCGACUGUAUUGACUUACAAAGGAUACGAGAUAAAUGGGAAUACAUUUUACACGAUCUCCCAAGAUCAAAAGAGCACCAACCAAAACAGCGGUGUCCACUUUGAUGCAGCAACCAAGAGGGGAAAGGACACAUAUUCUGGUUACAUAGUGGACAUAUGGGAACUUGACUAUGGACAUGAUUUUAAGGUCCCUUUGUUUAAGUGCAAAUGGGUCAAUCUGUCAGGAGGAGGGGUACAGGUAGACCCACAGUACGAAUGACAACAGUGGAUCUGAACAAUCUUGGGUACACAGACGAACCAUUUGUCCUAGCCAAUGAUGUGGCUCAGGUUUUCUGUGUGAAGGACAUGUCUACCAAACCGAGAAAAAGAAAAGAUAAGGAAGCGAACACAUCAUACGAUGAGCCAAAGUGCCACAUAGUUCUUUCAGGAAAAAGAGACAUCGUGGGAGUGGAGGGCAAGACAGACAUGUCCGAAGAUUAUGAAAAGUUUCAUGAAAUUCCUCCCUUCAAAGUCAAGGCUGACCCAAGCACCCUGUUAAACGAUGAAGAUUAUCCAUGGUUACGGCGCAAUAAGCAAAGGACAGAAGCAAAGAAAAAGUGAAGACUUUCUCUCCAUGACUAUUAUGAUGAUGCCUUUGAUCUAGAAUAUCCAUGUAACAGAUGAGUUUCCGUAUGAAACCCUGAUACUUCGAAAGAGAUUGUCCGUUUUGUACACGAAGUGCAUCCAGUUUUUGCCAUAACCCUCUCAACUUUUUAGCACAUGCUAUUUGGGUGAAAUGAUGAUACCAUGCCAACUUUCAACCUUUUCAGAGUUCAUCUGUAGUGCUUUUAAAUUUCAGGGUCAUUUAGCUAUAAAAAAUCAGUAAAUGCAUGAAAAAUAACAAAUGACGUCAGAAAGGGUUGAAAAUUGAUGAUGUGGCUUUGAAUGGUGCAUUUUGAACACACAAAGAGUCUGGAGUUCAAAUAAGUUCAAAAAAUGAAAAUUGAUGUAGUGCUUUUCAAUUUCAUGGUCAUUUAGCUCAAAGAAUGAACUAAUAUAAAAAAGAAUGAACUAGAAAACUUUUAUGAAACUCUAAUAGCAAAAAUAAUAAACUAAAAUUUAUGCAACUAAAAUUAUCAAAGUAUUUUCUGUUCAAAACAUUAAAAGCAAAAAAGAAUUUUCAUAAAGAACUUUUUUUGUUAGAAACUAUAAUCGCAAAAAGAAUUAUCAUAAAGAUUUCUUUUGUUAGAAACUAAAAUAACAAAAACUGUUUUUGAAUAUAAUGAUAAAACACAGUAAUAUUAAAUAGCAGGAAAAGGAAUCACUCCAAAAUCUAUUUUAUAGUAAAGUUAAUCACAAACUAGUGAUUCACACAAAUUUCAAAUAAUUCAAAUUUAAAGUAUUCAAAUUGGAAAAUUAAUGGCACUAACAAAAAGUUUAUAAUUUUUAUUACCUAAAACCAAAAAGAAUAACUGAAAAACUAGUAAGUAUUUUGUUGUAAGUAGAAACAAAAUAAAAUAAAUAAAACAAAAUAGAAAGCAAAAAAACUGGAUAUUUUUUUUAAAAGUGCCACCUACUUGGCCACCACGGCCUGCAUACGACUAGAAACCCGCUAGUGGGGCCAGGAUGCAGGUCCGCAGUAGGCCCAAUAGGCCCACAGGCACAGAGAGUGGAUUUAGGCCUGUAAGCCUGCAGUAGAGAGGAGCUCGAAGUGGUCGGCUCGGCAGGGCUUAUAAACCACUCCGAGCCCCUCUCGGCUAGCGAGGUGGGACUAAACAUCGCACCGCAUUGCGCCAGUUCCAGCACACGACCUUUGGUCCCGGUUGGUGGCACCAACCAGGACUAAUGGGUGGCAUUGGUACCGGUUCUUAGCACCAACCGGGACCAAUGCCCCUCUUUGGUCCCGGUUGGUGCCACCAACCGGGACCAACGGUCUCUGUUUCCCGCCCUUUGGGCUGCUGAAAAGAGGCCUUUGGUCCUGGUUGGUGGUAAUUUAGUCAAAAAGUAAUUAUGUAUUAGGAAAAACCUUCACUUUUUGACUAAAUUUUCUAUUUGAACAUUUCUUAAAAAAACCAAGCAAUACUACUUUAUUUGAACAUUCUCUGAUUUAGGUUAGUGCAUUAGAUGUUAGGUUAGUGUGCAUUUUAGAUUAGUUGAAUUAGAUGUUUUUUAUUAAGUGUUUAAUAGAAUUAGUUAGAAAAAUAAUAGAACUAGCUAGUUAAACUAGUUUAUUUUUAGUAAGUACUACUUUAUUUUGUUUAUAGUAAUUAAGUGCUUAGUAGCUGAACUAGUUGAUUUAAUAAAACUACUUUAUUUUACUAUAGAAGUAGUUUAUUUUUAGUAAGUAGUACUUUAUUUUAUUUAUAGUAAGUGCUUAUUAGUAGUUGAACUAGUUGAUUUAAUAAAACUACUUUAUUUUACUAUAGAAGUAGUUUAUUUUUAGUAAGAAAAAUAAUAGAAUUAGUUUAUUUUUUUAGUUAAAGCAAGUAUUCCCGCAUCGACGUCGACGAUGCCUAUCCCACAUCCUCGUCGUCGACUCGGCGGAGGGGCCAUGUCCGGGACUGGGCUCCGCCGGGCUGGUAUUGGGAGGUGCUACCUUCCGGGGGCGUAGCUUGGUGAGGAGCCAGACCGUCGUUGACCCGAACCUUGUUUGGUUGCGGUCGCAUGGGCCAGUGACGGUUCUGAGGCUUCCGGACACCGCGGAGGUGGUACGUCAUCGUGUCAGCGAGGAGGACGAGCACGUCCGUGGCUACAUGGUUGCGUUGGAGGGCAGGUUCUCCAAUACCUGGGAGGUUCUUCAGGGAUCUCACUGGAGCUAUGAUCCUGUGAUGGUUUCUUCUCUUUGGGUGUCCACCGACCACGCCGGUACCGUCGGGCGCUAUGGUUCUAGCUGUAUUAGCGAUGUUAUAUGUAUGAUACUAUUCAAGGUGUAUUAGUGAUAAUAUUCGACGGUGUACGGACGCAAGAGAUGAUGUAGUUUUGCUUACUGAACGCAUGCUAAUUUGAAUACUAAUUUAUUUUACGAUUUGGUUUUGCUUAUUGAAUGCUCAAACUGGAAAACUACGCCCUACUUUGAAUGCUAAAAUUGGAGAGCACUAUGCAAGGCGUAUGCAUUUGAUUAGUUGAUAGCUUAUAGGGUUUUUGUUUUUGCAUAAAUCUAGGAGCCACCUCCAUCAUCCCCGCCGUCGUCCCCGUCACCGACCCCCCCUCCGACCUCGAGGUGAGACCAGCCAAAUAUCCAUGUCAAUAUAAGUCCUAUAAGAUAUUUUGAAAUGUUUUUGCUCAUAUUUUCAACCAUUGAAAUGUAAUGGCCAUCAAGUUUGAAUGCUCAUAUGAUGUAGAUAAAAACAUGUAUAUUUCCAUUCCGGCAAAUUUCAGGCGCUCGAUAUGUCCUUUUUUAGAAAGAUAAUUAAACGAUAUUUCGGGUUGACUUUAAGUCUAUCGAGUCUCCACCAUAUAUGAGAGGACGAAGAAUCCCGACUGUUGUCGUGGGGGUAGCUUCUCCUUCGUUCCCGUGUGCUAGACAAUUUGGUGUAAUGCACUCGGGAACGAAAGGAGGAGCUACUAUCACCGACGAUCGCAAAUGUCAGAGAGGAAUCAGUGAGGGAGAGUCUCCACCAUAUGUAUAUGAGAGGACGAAGAAUCCCGACUGUUGUCAUGGGGGUAGCUUCUCCUUCGUUCCCGUGUGCUAGACAAUUUGGUGUAAUGCACUUGGGAACGAAAGGAGGAGCUACCAUCACCGACGGUCGAAUAUAUACACCACGUGAGCUGAGAGUUUUCAAGAAAAGACUCGACAGACCGAUAGUCAAGCUGUGAUGAAUAAUAAUGUUCUGAUUUAGUUUUUGUAGUACAUAUAUUUAAUUGUACAAGUUUAAUCUUUGAAUUAUGAACAUAGGAAAUGUCGUACUCGGACGACGAAAGUCUCCCGGGGGAGUGCUCCUGGUGCAACGACGACUGAGGUCUGUGCGACAGGUUCCUUCACCUGGACGAAGAUCGGCGCUUCAGCAUUAAGCUCCAGGAAACCUUCGAUGUUGAAACGGUACGCAACGACGACAAGUGUUUUUUUCGUAAUUAAGCACGACUUCAACUAUUUCAACGUGUAAUUUUCAUCUUUUACAAUUCGACUAGCUUAUCCCAUGCCAUGCAAUACGCUAUGUCUUGGAGAGGAUGGGUUUUGAAGACCAUGAAAGUUUUGAAACAAAGAAAAUUCACCUAAGGACCCAUCGUGGUAUGGAUUUUGAAGUAAAUCUGUACAAUUCUCGGAGCGUAACCCAUUUUGGUUGCCCAAAUUGGGAAGCACUUUGCAAGAUGUAUGGUUUUUAUGAGGAUAUGCUUGUCACCAUGGAUCUUGGUGAUCCUAACAUCGAGCAAGACAAUAUGGACAUUUGGGUCCUUGUUGAUACGCUUCCAAUUCUACCGCUAUGUGAGUUUCUCAAACAUAGUUAUUAGCUAAUUUAUAUUGUUUAUUUCAAAAUAUUUGACAGCUUAUUUCCAUUGACAGCUUAUUUUCAUUCUUCAAACAAUGUGCGGAAGAUGGUAGACAAAACCCACUACACCGAUGGCUCCGAAUUAACUUAUCAGGAGAAAAAUCAUCUGAUCGCAUUUUGUACUGACCUUGAGAAUUAUAAUACCUAUUAUGAUGCUCCUCAACAUUAUGGUCAAUAUGUGCCACUAGUGCACGUGUUGAACUACGUUAACAUCCAUGGAGAUAAAAUGGUAAGAUUUUUUACUAUUACGACAUUCGUGCUUCUUUUGCAUAAAUUCUUCUAAAACUCAACUAUACAUUGCUAACUACGAAGUUAUUACUAUGUUUUUCAACAGAUAAUCCCAAAUGAUUGUGUGCCUCAUCUGAUGAUGUUUCCGAAAGGUCGCGUUGAUGUUGUGAACUUACAGCCAGGUUAUCCUACGCAUCACAGCUGUCCAUACCGGAUUUCAAAAACCGAUCAACACAUGACAAUCAAAGAUUGGACAAAAUGUGUGGUCAAACGUACGGAGCUACUUGGAAGCAAAAGGAAGCAAAGCGCAAGAAUUGGAGAUAGGAUGAUCUCCAUUCUCCAUAAUGGAGAGUCAGGGCCUAUAUUGUUUUAUGCUAUAUUACCUUAAAGAGGGUAUUUAGGUCCUACCUAAUACUGAUGAUCAUGUGCUAAGAACAAUUAUAUUGGGUUGGUUUGAUGACUAUGAGGAUGAUGAUCGUAUGACUUGUUAUUAAUAACAAGUAGAAGUUGUAUGAUGAUGAUUAGUAGGACUUGUUAUUAUGAUGAUGCAUGAUGCGAGCAUGAAGAGUUAUUAUAUAUCAGUGGGUGAAAUGAACAUGGAUUGGAUUGAAGUGAAGGCAACAUGUGCUGCAUGUCGAAAGUAGUACUAGUCCAAACUUGAUCAAGUUAGGAUUAGUAUUAUUUUCGACAUGCACCACAUGUUGCCUUCACUUCAAUGUAAGCCAUGUUUAGGCAUAGCAGUAGCGUUGGUAAACCAAGCACGGAGAUAAGAGAGGACACUUCUCUCUAUUAGCUAGCUAACACCCUAGCUAAAUUAACCCCCCAAAACCCCCUAAACCACCCCCUUUCAAAAAAAACCUCAGCUCCUGCUAGCUGCUGACGCGCGGAUGCCUUUUGGUCCCGGUUGGUGCUACCAACCGGGACCAAAGGCCCUCCUGCCUGGGCUCGCCGCAGCGGCCACGUGGAGGCCCAUCUGUCCCAGUUGGUGUAAGAACCGGGACUAAAGGUUUAGGGCUUUAGUACCGACCCUUUAGUCCCGGUUCCCCAACCGGGAAAAUGGGCCUUACGAACCGGGACAAAUGGCCCUUUUUCUACUAGUGAUUGCUGCAUAGAAGAAUUAUGUCCUUGAUGCACUGCUAGGUGACAAACCUAUUGUAGGAGCAGAUGCAGAUGUUAUGAACAUUUUGCAAGCUCGAUAUGAUGACUACUUGAUAGUUUAGUGCGCCAUGCUUUACGGCUUAGAACCGGGACUUCAAAAAUGUUUUGAACGCCACGGAACAUAUGAGAUAUUCCAAGAGCUGAAAUUGGUAUUCAGACUCAUGCCCCUGUCGAGAGGUAUGAGACCUCUGACAAGUACUUUGCCUACAAGAUGGAGGAGAAUAGCUCAGCCAAUGAGCAUAUGCUCAGAAUGUCUGGGUACUACAAUCGCUUGAAUCAAGUAGGAGUUAAUCUUCCAGAUAAGAUAGUGAUUGAAAGAGUUCUCUAGUCACUAUCACCAAGCUGCUAGAACUUUGUGAUGAACUAUAAUAUGCAAGGGAUGACGAAGACGAUUCCUGAGCUCUUCGCGAUGCAGAAAUCGGCGAAGGUAGAAAUCAAGAAAAAGCAUCAAGUGUUGAUGGUUAACAAGACCACUAGUUUCAAGAAAAGGGCAAGGGAAAGAAAGGGAACUUCAAGAAGAAUGCCAAGCAAGUUGCCACUCCCAUGAAGAAGCCCAGAGCUAGACCGAAGCCUGAAACUGAGUGCUUCUACUACAAAGGAAAUGGUCACUGGAAGCGGAACUGCCCCAAAUACUUGGCGGAUAAGAAGGAUGGCAAAGUGAAUUAAGGUAUAUAUGAUAUACAUGUUAUUGAUGUGUACUUUACUAGUGUUCAUAGCAACCCCUGGGUAUUUGAUACCAGAUCAGUUACUGAGAUUAGUAACUCGAAACAGGAGUUGCAGAAUGAACAGAGACUGGUUAAGGGCGAAGUGACGCUGUGUGUGUUGGAAGUAAUUCCAAGGUUGAUACGAUCACCAUCGCACACUCCCUCUACCUUCGAGAUUAGUUUGAACCUAAAAUAAAUGUUUUUUGGCUUUUGCAUUGAGCAUGAAUAUGUUUAGAUCAUGUUUAUUGCAAUACGGUUAUUCAUUUAAGUCAGAGAAUAAUCGUUGUUCUGUUUACAUGAAUGAAACCUUCUAUGGUCAUACACCAAAUGUAAAUGGUUUAUUGAAUCUCGAUCAUAGUGAUACACAUAUUCAUAAUAUUGAUGCCAAAAGAUGCAAAGCUGAUAAUGAUAGUGCAACAUACUUGUGCACUUCCGUUUUGGUCAUAUUGGUGUAAAGCGCGUGAAGGAACUCCAUGCGGAUGGACUUUUGGAAUCACUUGAUUAUAAAUCAUUUGAUACUUGUGAACCAUGUCUCAUGGGCAAGAUGACUAAAACUCUGUUCUCCGGAACAAAGGAGCGAGCUAAUGACUUAUUGGAAAUAAUACAAACCGAUGUAUGCGGUUCGAUGAGUGUUGAGGCAUGCGGCGGGUAUCAUUAUUUUCUAACCUUCAUAGAUGAUUUGAGCAGAUAUGGGUAUAUCUACUUAAUGAAACACAAGUUUGAAACAUUUGAAAAGUUCAAAGAAUUUCAGAGUGAAGUGGACAAUAGUCGUAACAAGAAAAUAAAGUUUCUAUGAUCUGAUUGCGGAGGCGAAUAUUUGAGGUACGAGUUUGGCCUUCAUAUAAAACAAUGUGGAAUAGUUUCACAAUUAAACGCCACCUGGAACACCACAGCAUAAUGGUGUGUUCGUAAGUCAUAACCGUAAUUUAUUAGAUAUGGUUCGUUCCAUGAUGUCUCUUACCGGUUUGCCACUAUCGUUUUGGGGUUAUGCAUUAGAGACAGCCGCAUUCACGUUAAAUAGGGCACCGUCUAAAUCCGUUGAGAUGACACCGUAUGAACUGUGGUUUGGCAAGAAACCUAAGCUGUCAUUUCUUAAAAGUUUGGGGAUACGACGCUUAUGUCAAAAGGCUUCCGUCUGAUAAGCUUGAACCCGAAGCGGAGAAGUGUGUCUUCAUAGGAUACCCUAAGGAAACCAUUGGGUACACCUUCUACCACAGAUCUGAAGGCAAGAUCUUUGUUGCUAAGAAUGGAUCCUUUCUAGAGAAGGAAUUUCUCGCGAAAGAAGUGAGUGGGAGGAAAGUAGAAUUUGAUGAGGUAAUUGUACCUUCUCUCAAAUUGGAAAGUAGCACAUCAGAGAAAACCGUUCCCGUGAUGCCUACACCAACUAGAGAGGAAGCUCAUGAUGAUGAUCAUAAAACUUUAGAUCAAGUUACUACUGAAUUUUGUAGGUCAACCAGAACACGUUCCGCACUAGAGUGGUACGGUAAUCCUGUCCUGGAAGUCAUGUUACUAGACCAAAUCAAACCUACGAACUAUGAAGAAGCUAUGAUGAGCCCAGAUUCUGACAGAUGGCUUGAGGCCGUGAAAUUUGAGGUAGGAUCCAUGUAUGAGAACAAAGUGUGGACUUUGGUGGACUUGCCCGAUGAUCGGCAGGCCAUUGAGAAUAACUGGAUCUUCAAGAAGAAGACAGACGCUGGUGGUAAUGUCACCAUGUACAAAGCUCGACUUGUCGCGAAAGGUUUUCCACAAGUUCAAGGGGUUGACUACGAUGAGACUUUCUCACCCGUAGUGAUGCUUAAGUCUGUCCGAAUCAUGUUAGCAAUUGCCACAUUUUAUGAUUAUGAAAUCUGGCAAAUGGACAUCAAAACUGCAUUCCUUAAUGGAUGUCUUAAAGAAGAGUUGAAUAUGAUACAAUCAAAACAUUUUGUCGAUCCUAAAGAUGCUAACAAAGAAUGCAAGCUCCAGUGAUCCAUCUAUGGACUGGUGCAAGCAUCUCGGAGUUGGAAUAUACGCUUUGAUGAGGUGAUCAAAGCAUAUGGUUUUAUACAAACUUAUGGUGAAGCCUGUACUUACAAGAAAGUGAGUGGGGCCUCUGUAGCAUUUCUGAUACUAUAUGUAGAUGACAUAUUGUUGAUUGGAAAUGAUAUAGAAUUUCUGGAAAGCAUAAAAGGAUACUUGAAUAAGAAUUUUUCAAUGAAAGACCUCGGUGAAGCUACUUAUAUAUUGGGCAUCAAGAUCUAUAGAGAUAGAUCAAGACGCUUAAUAGGACUUCCACAAAGCACAUACCUUGACAAAGUUUUGAAGAAGUUUAAAAUGGAUCGGUCAAAGAAAUGGUUCUUGCCUGUGUUACAAGGUGUGAACUUGAGUAAGACUCAAAAACCCGACCACAGCAGAAGAUAAAGAGAGAAUGAAAGUCAUUCCCUAUGCCUCAGCCAUAGGUUCUAUAAAGUAUGCCAUGCUGUGUACCAGAUCUAUUGUGUACCUUGCCAUGAGUUUGGCAAGAGGGUACAAUAGUGAUCGAGGAGUAGAUCACUCGACAGCGGUCAAAAUUAUCCUUAGGUACCUAAAGAGGACUAAGGAAAUAUUUCUCGGUUAUGGAGGUGACAAAGAGUUCAUCGUAAAGGGUUACGUCGAUGCAAGCUUUGACACUGAUCCGGAUGAAUCUGAGUCUCAAUCUGGAUACAUAUUAAAAGUGGGAGCAAUUAGCUAGAGUAGCUCCGUGCAGAGCAUUGUAAACAUAGAAAUUAAUUUCAAAAUACAUACGGAUCUGAAUAUGGCAGACCUGUUGACUAAACCUCUCACACAAGCAAAACAUGAUCACACCUUAGUACUCUUUGGGUGUUAAUCACAUGGCGAUGUGAACUAGAUUAUUGACUCUAGUAAACCCUUUGGGUGUUGAUCACAUGGCAAGGUGAACUAUGGGUGUUAAUCACAUGGCGAUGUGAACUAUUGGUGUUAAUCACAUGGUGAUGUGAACUAGAUUACUGACUCUAGUGCAAGUGGGAGACUGAAGGAAAUAUUCCCUAGAGGCAAUAAUAAAGUUGUUAUUUAUAUUUCCUUAUUCAUGAUAAAAGGUUUAUUAUUCAUGCUAGAAUUGUAUUGAUCGGAAACUUAAAUACAUGUGUGAAUACAUAAACAAAUACCGUGUCCCUAGUAAGCCUCUACUAGACUAGCUCGUUGAUCAAAGAUGGUUAAGGUUUCCUAACCAUGGACAUGAGUUUUCAUUUGAUAACGGGAUCACAUCAUUAGGAGAAUGAUGUGAUGGACAAGACCCAUCCGUUAGCUUAGCAUAUUGAUCGUUCAGUUUAUUGCUAUUGCUUUCUUCAUGUCAAAUACUUAUUCCUUCGACUAUGAGAUUAUGCAACUCCCGGUAGGAAUACCUUGUGCUAUCAAACGUCACAACGUAACUAGGUGAUCAUAAAGAUGCUCUAGAGGUAUCUCUGAAGGUGUUUGUUGAGUUGGCAUAGAUCGAGAUUAGGAUUUGUCACUCCGAGUAUCGGAGAGGUAUCUCAAGGCCCUCUCGGUAAUACACAUCAUAAGCUUGCAAGAAAACGGCUAAGGAGUUAGUCACGAGGUGAUGUAUUACGGAACAAGUAAAGAGACUUGCCGGUAACGAGAUUGAACUAGGUAUGAAGAUACCGAUGAUCGAAUCUCGGGCAAGUAACAUACCGAUGGACAAAGGGAAUUACGUAUGUUGUCAUAAUGAUUCGACCGAUAAAGAUCUUCGUAGAAUAUGUAGGAGCCAAUGUGGGCAUCCAGGUUCCGCUAUUGGUUAUUGACCGGAGAGGUGUCUCGGUUAUGUCUACAUAGUUCUCGAAACCGUAGGGUCCGCACGCUUAACAUUCGUUGACGAUAUAGUAUUAUACGAGUUAUGUGAUUUGGUAACUGAAUGUUGUUUGGAGUCCCGGAUGAGAUCACGGAUAUGACGAGGAGUCUCAAAAUGGUCGAGAGGUAAAGAUUGAUAUAUAGGACGAUGGUAUUUGGACACCGAAAGUGUUUCGGGGGGUACCAGGUACUUAUCGGGUCACCGGAAAGGAGUUUCGGGCACCCCGGCAAAGAUAUGGGCCUUAUGGGCCAAGAGAGGGAACACACCAGCCCACAAGGGGCUGGUGCGCCCCCAUAUCAGGCCGGCCUAUGAGGAGGAGAAGGAAAGAGGGGAGGGAAAGGAAAGUGUGGAGUAGGACUCCCCCUUCCUUCCCUCCCCCCCCCCCACCCUCUUUCCUUCCACCUUGUUUAUACAAGGAAGGGGGCGCAGGGCAAGGCAGGGGCCGGCGGGCAGCCCUAGGGCGCGCCCUGGCUGCCUACCCUCCCCCUCCCACCUAUAUAUAUGUGGGAAGGGGGCGCCACACAAGGACACAACAUUGUCUUAGCCAUGUGCGGCGCCCCCGUCCACCGUUUACUAUCUCAGUCAUAUUUUCAUAGUGCUUAGGCGAAGCCCUGCGGAGAUCACACCAUCAUCACCAUCACCACGCCGUCGUGCUGCCGGAACACAUCUACUACCUUGCUGUCUUGCUGGAUCAAAAGGCGGAGGACGUCACCGAGCUGAAUGUGUGCAUAAGAGGAGGUGCCGUGCUUUCGGUACUAGAUCAAUUGGAGCGCGAAGAAAGUUCGACUACAUCAACCACAUUGUGAAACGCUUCCGCUUACGGUCUACGAGGGUACGUAGACACACUCUCCCCCUCAUUGUUAUGCAUCUCCAUGGAUAGAUCAUUGCGUGUGCUUGGAAAUUUUUUGUUUUCCAUGUAACGUUUCCCAACAGUAAUAGCUUAGAGUUUUGAUUGACCUUGUCAUCUAAGCUUGAACACAGUUCCCUAUGAGUCAAAAAUCUAGUACAAAAUGUGAUGCCCCAAUUUCCGUGCUAAUUGCUAUCUUUGAAUCUUUUUUACUUGAAUUGUACCUGAAUUUGUUUGCCCUGGUUUGGUUUGGCUUUGUAUCUCAAAGGUCAGCAAAACCUCCUAGCCAAGUUAGGAGACAACUAAUCCUCGCAAACCUCAUCUGUGAAUCUGGCCAUCUAAAUGUUUCAUAAACUUAGACAACAAUGCAAAACCAAAAUAAAAUGCUGAAAAUAUAAACAAACAUCAACUGAAUGCGAAGUCGAAACCCCUUUGGAAACAACAUAUUUUGCAAUGAAAAAAUCUCGAGAAAGAUGAUGAAAUUCCAUACUUAGUUUUUUAUGGUGCUAAUGACCGGAGAUCUCUUUUCAUUGAUUAGGUGGUCGCAGAUCACGAUGCAUCUUCCAGGAAGAACCAACAACGAGAAGAAGAACUACUGGAACUCGUACCUAAAGAAGAGGGUGAUGCAGUUGGGCUCUCCCCNNNNNNNNNNNNNNNNNNNNNNNNNNNNNNNNNNNNNNNNNNNNNNNNNNNNNNNNNNNNNNNNNNNNNNNNNNNNNNNNNNNNNNNNNNNNNNNNNNNNNNNNNNNNNNNNNNNNNNNNNNNNNNNNNNNNNNNNNNNNNNNNNNNNNNNNNNNNNNNNNNNNNNNNNNNNNNNNNNNNNNNNNNNNNNNNNNNNNNNNNNNNNNNNNNNNNNNNNNNNNNNNNNNNNNNNNNNNNNNNNNNNNNNNNNNNNNNNNNNNNNNNNNNNNNNNNNNNNNNNNNNNNNNNNNNNNNNNNNNNNNNNNNNNNNNNNNNNNNNNNNNNNNNNGCAUGGAGAUUGCUGCAUGCGAAUGCUCUUAUGGCUGACUAUAAAUUACAUUAUAGUCUAGUGAUCUUAGCAAAAAAUUGAUGAGCUUGCAUUGUUUUUAAUGGUUUGGUUUGUAUUUGGCUAGGAGUUCCAUUUGGAAUGGAACCUUACAUCCAUGAUCUACUCUAGACAUAAUUUUCAAAAUAAAAUUAUAAUAUGCUAUUAGCAACAAAUGCACCUAAUAGCUACUCCCUCCGUUCCAUAAUAUAAGAUGCUAUUACAUCCAAUAUACUCACAUAUUGGAUGUAAUAACAUCUUAUAUUAUGGAACAUAGGGAGUAAUAGCUUAGAGUUCUGAUUGACCUUGUCAUCUAAGCUUGAACACAGUUCCCAUAUGAGUCAAAAAUCUAGUACAAAAUGUGAUCCCCCAAUUUCCCUGUUAAUUGCUAUCUUUGAAUCUUUUUUACUUGAAUUGUGCCUGAAUUUGUUUGCCUUGGUUUGGUUUGGUUUGGUAUCUCGAAGGUCAGCAAAACCUCCUAGCCAAGUUAGGAGACAACUAAGGAAUCCUCACAAACCUCAUCUGUGAAUCUGGCCAUCUAAACAUUUCAUAAACUUAGACAACAAUGCAAAACCAAAAUAAAAUGCUGAAAACAUAAACAAACAUCAACUGAAUGCGAAGUCGAAACCCCUUUGAAAACAACAUAUUUUGCGAUGAAAAAAUCUCGAGAAAGACGAUGAAAUUCCAUACUUAGUUUUUUAUGGUGUUAAUGACCUGAGAUCUCUUUUCAUUGAUUAGGUGGUCGCAGAUCACGAUGCAUCUGCCAGGAAGGACCGACAACAAGAUGAAGAACUACUGGAACUCGUACCUAAAGAAGAGGCUGAUGUAGUUGGGAUCCUCCAAACCUGCCAGCAAGAACACGUAGCCGGAGAUGCUCACCUCAAUGAGGGUCACCACCAAGCUCAUCAUGACCUAGUUAGAGAGUCUAGGUAAAGCAAAUGUUUAGUAUGAGAAAGGUUGUAUCAUUGGCAGAUAGAAUCUGAAAGGAUAUGUAUCCUAUCUUUAGCUCUUUUGGGAUAUCGGCAGUCCAUACUUACCAUGUCCACUUUGGAAAGUGCUAUAGUAACUUCCUGCAUUUGAGGACUAUCAAGGAUGCAUCCUCAGAGGAGGUGUUACGCAACUGGAGGUGGAGCUUGCGGAUAUCACUGCCGUCUUGGCGCUCCUCGUGGACCCGAAGAUCGUGAAGGAGAAUCGGGUAGUGCUCUUGCUAGUCCAGAGAGCCCACACGGUUGACCGCCAGCACUGCCAGUUCCGCAUCAACAAGGCACGGUACAUCUAGCUCUUCAAGGAGCUCGAGGCUAAGUACGACAAGGAGGCGGAGCAGCACGCUGAUGAUGCCAAAGAUGUGCACGUAAAUGACUCCGGUGGGUUCUCGCCGGCGACCAAUGACGACGAGGUGGGCGGGGCGUGGGGGAUGUCGAUCUCACCUCUGACAUGAAGGAGUGGGAUUUAGUUGUUUUUAGUAGUUUUAGUGAUCUUUUGGAUGGUAAAAAUCCUAUGAACUAGCAUUAACGUUGAAUGGCUCAGUGUGCGUGUCCGUCUUGUUUGAGAGAUAAGGUUGGAUGGCAUUCGUUCGGCCCGGAUGUUUGCGGACACAUCCAGAUACGGACAACUGACGUGUCCGUGGACAUUUGUGGGAUUCUCUUUGAUGAACCUUGUUGGAGUUGCCCUUAGUAGCUUAAGGGACAUUUAAAGCACAUGUGUUCAAAGGUGUAUACUAGAAGAAAGUGACUAAAUAAGAUGCGUGUGGGGGUGGUUCUUGGUUCAUAACUUUACUAGUGUUCACUCUAUCUCGGCUCGCAACUACCGGCUAUAAAAGGAGUAUAUCUUUAUCUAGAAGGAAAUAAACCUUAUCCAGCAACAGAGUGAGAGAAAUCGAGCACCGAGAGGAGGGUCACUUGCACUGCACACCUGAGAGGCAGUGUUGUUCGUUCUUGAACAUCUGCCAGAUGUUUCAUGCAGGAUCUGGACCUUUAUUUUGGUGGUUUUACCCUUCCAAUGUGAGCAUGCGAAGCAUCAGGAUGAUAAGCACCUGCAUGAGGAAGAUACUCGGUGCUGGAAACAAUAAUAGCCAAGGUACUGCAAAUAGCAGCUUUUGCUACUACGUCUGCUCAAGUAUUUUCGCUGAAACCGGCUCACGAAGGGCCUGAUUCGUCCAGUAACCACUACAAUUGCGAGCGCCUGCGGGUCGGUACGUCUCAGGGCAAGUUAGUAGGCACGGAUUGCGUCCAGGGUAGACGACUCAGGAGACGACUCAGCCAUUGCUGUCAGUCUCUCUUGUCGAUAGCCAAUAUACUAUAAAUCCCGCGCCAAAUCUCUCCUUGCACUGUAUUUAGAGAAAAAUCGUAAUUAUCACAACAAAAUCAGAGUGGCGCAGCGGAAGCGUGGUGGGCCCAUAACCCACAGGUCCCAGGAUCGAAACCUGGCUCUGAUAUAUUUGAUAAAUUUUUUUCUGCUUUGUUUGAUUCCAAGUUAUACUCUCUGAUAAAUUUGGUUGCCCUUCGCUUUACUUCUCGUUCAGGUUCCCUUCGAUCGGAUUCAAAGAUGGAGGAAUUUGAGAAUUUUCACACCAUAUGUUCUUUCCGAAGUGCAGUGCUGAAGAAUGCUUGGACCAACUAUAUACGAGGACAAGUUAUGAGUACGUUUCAACUGAAUUGCUGCAGGCCAACAGCGCGGAGAAUGAACUGGUUCUGCCUCACCCCUCAAUGCUUUCCAACACUCGGAGAUAUUCCAUGGUGGUUGUUGAAGCCAAGAUGACAGGCUGAUGCUGAACUGCUUCUGUAUAUCUACCUAAGUUUUGUUCUGGUGCAGAGGAUGGCACUGUUCCAUUUUCCAGUGACAAAACUGACUUGUCUCAUUCCCAAGUGCAAAACAGAUGGACAUUGAUCUGCACUGUGCUCAUGACACACUUCUCUCUUAAAGUUCAAAAUAGAACAGAUAUUGCAGGGUCUCAGCAAGGUGCAUCCGACAUAGAGCAUCGCCGGUGCAUACUUUCAGAAAUCAACAGGCAUCAUUCUGCAGUUACAAUUGUAUCAUAAAAACACACUGCCAUCAUGCUCGUAAAUGCAUGAUGUGCCUCGUUUCUUUCUUUUUUCCCCAUUUUCUGUCCAUUGACCGACCCAAAAAAGGUUAGACAUUGUUGAAUUAAAGCCUAAUGCAUCAUUCCCAGCAAGAUAAAGGCGCCUAGCGUAUUGUUGAAUCUGAUCCUAAUUGUUGUUGCUCGACAUUAUCUCAACAGGUUCAGAACUUUGAACGCUGGGACAAGUGUAAACUACAGCCAUGCUAGGCACUGCAGAAGCAUGGAGUAUAAAGUGUCAAAGCAUCUGUUAAGAACAAUUGAAAAUGGAACUUUUGGCAGGCUCAGAUCAACAUAGGAAGCCAUAUUGUAUUACCAUUGCUAAAUUUAAUUAAUUUAAGUAAACCAACUUGUCAGAAGCACUAAUCUCAUGAAAUCCACAAUGCAUUCUGCUCAAUAUGGUCACUGUAGACAAAUAUGAAGUUUCUCAUAAAUAAAUUCAUAAGGUAAAAGCAACAACUAUUAAGUCAAUCUUUUUUUACUCUGAGUUAACAUAAAUCUUUGCAACCUACGGAGUUGCUGAAUUAACACGAUACUUUUGGAGAUAAGGACAUAGUACAGAGCUAUGAAAAUAUUGAGUGCCCCCUACAAGUUGCUGAAUUGCAUUCCAUUUAUCAUUGCAAUCUUCAUGCAUCUCAUAAAGGAGUAUAUCAUCUAGCUUCAGGAAUGUUAAGAAAAGAAAAUGCAAGCAGAAGGCUUACAGUCGUCUAAGGAUUUAAAAAUAUCACGCACUUUUACAUGUAUGUUAUCUCAGAUUUGGAUCAACCUCAGAGACACAUGAUGGCAUUAACAUAUCAGGAUUCAGGAAUCAAAUUAUCAGUUUCAUCACGAAUUAGCAACGACAAACAAGUAUCGAACAGGCAUAUAACAGCCAACAGCGGACAAACAACAUCCACUAAGGCAAAGAACACCGUGACAGGAAUUAGCACCUUACCACACGGAGAGAAAUUUUGGUUCUGCCAUACGCAGUCCCAAUUUUCAUAGCCCAUUCUUGGUUCCCGUCAAUGUGGAUCCAGUGGGCACUUCCCCUCGGCAAGCUGUGGCAUAGUACUCAGCGAGGUGCGGUGCAGCUUCCUUAUGAGGGCAUAUAUACACCUCAAAGAAUACCUUCUCGGUUGCCUUGAAGAUUGGAUAGUACUUGGGGACGCGCUUGAGCAAUCCAUUUGCCAUUAGAAACAUUAUAACGUCGUACCUGGGCCUGAGCCGGCCUUCCAGGCUAAGACAGAGUAUUACCGGCAGACGAGCAAUGUAGGCCGGUUCCAACCCCACCUUAGAGAUAAGGAACUCGGACUUACGCAGGAGCAUGCCCUUUGAUCUCCUCAGCAACGAUGGAUACCUAGACAGAGCAAUGCGCACCUCGGCAUCGGACCACCUGAACGUGUUCUUCAAGUAGUCCAGUUUGGCGGCGAUCUCCUCCUCGCUGAGGAACGCGACGGCCUGCAGCGCUUCCCUAAACAUCCCAGAGCCGCGGGGCACGCCUACAGCUUCGGCGCACGCUGCCAUCGCCCGGACGCGCUCGGGGUUGGUGGUCAGAAGCCUCGGCGCAUUGACGCACAGCGAGGCAAUAUGUCGAACAUCUACCCCGCACUCCCGCAGGAACGCGACGUUGGGCUCGACCACCGUCCCGACGCUCGAGGAGAGAAGGCGGGGGCUGACCUUGAGCACCCGGAGGAGCUUGUCGGAGGAGCCGAAGAGGUGGUGGUAGUAGCGCAGCUUGGCCACCACGGAUUUGGUGCGGAGGCAGUAGUCGGUGAGCGAGGCGAGGCGCGCGAUCUCGGAGUGUGACAGGCCGAGGCUGGUGAGCCCGGCGACGAUGGGGGAGAGGGUACCCUCCACUUUAGCGCAGAGUAAACUGGGGUUCCUUGCCACGGCGGCGGCGACGUCGGCCCUGGAGAAGCCGAGGCCGGCGAGGAAGGCGAGGACGGCGUCGGGUUUGGUGGGGGAGUUGAGGUGGGAGAGUCUCGUGGACGCCUUGAGUGCUCGCGCUCGGGUGAGGCCGCAGGUGGCGACGAGGUAGUCCUGGACGGCGAAGCCGCCGGCGACGGGGUCUGCAAGAACGGGGGGCGCCGCGGUUGAGAGGAGGCGGAGGGAGAAGGAAGGGGGUAUGGUGGAGGCGGAGGGAGAAGAGAGCUGUUGGGUGAGGAUGCUCUUCAGGAGGCGGAGCAUGGCGCAGACGGCGGCGGCGGCGACGAGCGACGAGCGGCGAGCGGAGAAACUUCCGGUGGGAACUGACAAAGGGGAUCGCGUUCCGUAGUGAUUUCUAUUUCGUUCCAGUUUAACAGAAGAAAAGUCCAUUUUACUCAUGGAGCAGAAAAUGGUUGGUUCGCAUGCUUUUUUUUCACAAAUACGCAAAGUUGCGUAUCAUUUUAUUGAUAGAAGAAGAUGAUAGAAGAAGAAGAAGAAGAAGAAAAGAAGAAUGAGUACAGAUAGGAACAAUACAUGCAUGAACGCUAGAAGGCAUCACAUGGUGUCUGGAGCAGAGACAUGGGGUGCUCAGCCCAAACAAAGAAAACAACACGGCGACACACACCUAGCCCUGAGAAGCUACUCGAACCAAAUGAAGACAACCAACACGUCUAACUCCACCAUCGGGGACGCCGCGAGCGAUCAAGACGACGCCUUCAAGAAGGGAAACGACGUCAAAGACACCGUCGUCGUCCGGUCCAAGGACUGGACCUAGGGUCUCCCCUGAUGCUCGAAGAAGGGCAGAGAUGAAGACCAUGACAGUGCCUCCAAGAAGGGAACGGCGCCCACGGGCGUCGCCAAUGCCAGCACCGGCAAGCCGAGCAGGGAUUUCGCUCUGGCCUUUGUCUGAGCAAUCCCAAGCCGCCAGGGUAAUCAUCGGAGGGAAGGAAGUCAAGACAUCGGUCAAAACCGCCAAUGCAGGGGCAUCAGAUGUCACCGAAAGAGCGAGAACAGAUCCGGCAGGAGGAAUAGCAAGGCGUAGAGGUAAGCGGGGUUGGGCGGUUGGGCGGAGGGGAAUACGACGAUGGAGGGGAUGCAACGGUGGCCAGCAACGCGGACGCGGCAAGAUCUGGAGAGAAGCGCACAUCUGGGCCGCCGGAGCCAAAGCCACCGGGACGCCGGCAAGCCCAAGACUAUAUAUCAAUUUUUAUUCUGUUGAGAAUUGUACAGUCGCGUUUGAUAGCAUGCAGCGCACCCAACCAGGCCGCGCAGUGCAAAAAUAGUUCGUUUGGUAGCCUGGCCUGCAUCCAAACAUCUCCAGCCAGGCCUGCUAUGAACGACCGAAUCGGUCGUUUCCUCUAAGCCAGGCUCGCGGCGUGUAGGGAGGGGAACGCGGCGCCGAGCUCAUGCAAGCAGGGAGAUGACACGAGGAGUUGGGUCAACUAUCGUCGAAUCGGUCACCCUAUUUAGUAACCUUCAGNNNNNNNNNNNNNNNNNNNNNNNNNNNNNNNNNNNNNNNNNNNNNNNNNNNNNNNNNNNNNNNNNNNNNNNNNNNNNNNNNNNNNNNNNNNNNNNNNNNNNNNNNNNNNNNNNNNNNNNNNNNNNNNNNNNNNNNNNNNNNNNNNNNNNNNNNNNNNNNNNNNNNNNNNNNNNNNNNNNNNNNNNNNNNNNNNNNNNNNNNNNNNNNNNNNNNNNNNNNNNNNNNNNNNNNNNNNNNNNNNNNNNNNNNNNNNNNNNNNNNNNNNNNNNNNNNNNNNNNNNNNNNNNNNNNNNNNNNNNNNNNNNNNNNNNNNNNNNNNNNNNNNNNNNNNNNNNNNNNNNNNNNNNNNNNNNNNNNNNNNNNNNNNNNNNNNNNNNNNNNNNNNNNNNNNNNNNNNNNNNNNNNNGUAAGCGUCGAGCCUUUUCCGGUCGGCACAUGCAGGCCAUCAGACGUUGAAUUUCAUUUUGGCAUGUGUUGAUUUGUCGAAUUGUGGUUCACUUUGCUUUGUUGCAUUGUUGAUUUGGUGAUGAAUUUGUGAUAUAUGAUUGACAUGCAUGGAUUCACAUAAAGUUGAGGAUUCUGAUGUGAGGAGUGUGGUUGUUCGGUAGGACUUUUGAGGGGCCUUCGACGCUGUCUGGAGUCUUGCGCGAGCAUGUCUGCAGAUGUUUAGGGUGCGGAUUUGCGUAGUCCGGCUGUAGAUGCUCUUACAAACAGGGUUUGGUAGCACAUAUAUUUUUUUCUGUACCGCGAUGAAAUCAAGCAAUACUAAUAAGUUUUUAUUUACAUACUUAUAACUCUUUAACAAUAUACAAUAGGAUAUUCUCCUACUUUUCUCACAUAAAAACAAGAGUUUUAUUUCUCUGUUGUUCCACUUUGCAAUCGUUGCUUUGUCCUUCUUUGUUGCAAUAUUCAGUUUUUGGUUGCUUCAACCGUAGAUGGGCACCACAAAGCGUCAAAAGUUCUUGAACAAUUACAUCACCUGUUGUUGGAAUAAAUGGCCACAACAAUUGACAUGUGAAGUUGUAUGAAGGGGUGAUGUCUGGGCCACACACCAUGCCCAUUCGCUGAUCUUCUAUAAAUAACCACUACUACCUCCGUUCCAAAAUACAUGACGUUUUGGUAUGCUAGUUUACCUACUAAAAUGUCAUAUAUUUUGGAAUUAUCUUGCUUGUAUGGAAGAAUCACGUUUAGUUGCUAAGGAGAGAAAGCAUGACCAAGUGUGUGAGGAGGGCAACAAUGAUGAGCAUGAAGAGUGUCAAAAGUCUUUCCCGGGGAAUGAGAUGGGUUGGGAAUUUGAUUGAAACUUUGACAAACCUAGCAUCUUUGGAGUCCUCUUCUUCCAAAGUUACUGUGAUUACUCACUAGAGUGGUAUGCUGGAACUGAGCAAGCCACAGGGUCAUCUUGGGCAUUACUUCCUCAAGAUGCUUACUGCGAUUGUUCAUCUCACUUCCACCAGUUUGUUCCACUCUAUCCUCUAUGGCUUCUAGUGUGCACGACUGUGGUGGGCAGAUGGAGCCCUACCUAUUGCUAGUCAAGCUGUGUUUGUCAACUGUUGUAACUGUCAGCAAUUACUCUUUUGUUAGGGGAAAAACAAUCCAUACCACCCACUGAAUGUUGACAUUGUUUCAGUUUUCACUGCGGCGGGUCGGCGAGAGGGCAAAAAUUGCUGACAUAUUGUGAACAGGACAGAGCCAAAACCUGUUACGAUCAGAAUUUAUUCACAUUCAUGUCAUAGAUGUCCUAAGAAUUAGGUGAUUUGUCUGUUAAUCCAAUCCCACCGUAACAAAAAAUUUGUUUUUCAGAGCUGCUUAUCAUCCAGAUCAACCUGCAUAGAGAGUAGGAGGGGGCGAGAGCGGCCACGACAGUCACGGGCGUGACCCAGAUGGCGACCGUCGACUGAUUCAUCAUGUUGGCCGGACGCCGCACGUACAUUAAAUUUCAUUUGGCAUGUUUGAAUUGUGUUUCAUUUUGUUUUGAGGAUCAAAGCGAUCAACGUUGUCAUACAACAAGCUUACAAUCACAGAACAUAAUAUCGCUAAGCUCAGGCAGGACAACCGCCAGAAAGAAGAAAACGCCUUGACUUGUUGCCAUGGCAGCGAGCCUGUGUACCCACAUGUUCUGAUCCCUUCUCCCGCAACCAAACUGAAUGGACCUGAACGAGCGUAGUGAAGCAAGAAUAUCAGCAAUGAUUGCAAACAGGCUAAUUGGGUGUGUUCUGAUCCAACGCCUUAACCAAGGAUAGGCAUUCCAGUUCCACCUGCACAACACCGUUAAAGUAUUUCGAAAGCUGUUGUAGGCCCGCCAAAACUAUCAAACCCUUCGCUUCUUCCACAAAAGAUCAGGGACCGACGCGAUGCCCCAUCGAGAAGAAGGGUCAGCAACUGGCGUCCCUGGCCAUUGCACCAUCGGCACUCAUUCCUGAGGUUGCAUCAGACGCGGCGUCUGACUUCAAUUUAACACUGCCGCCAGGUGGGAGAUUCCAGCCUGCAGCGGCAAGCGGGCAAGUGGACAAGCGACGAUCCCCAAAUAGAUUACUGCAGCAGCUACUUUUCUCGUUUUUCGUUCGUCCCCCGGGCAUUGCUGAUUUCCUCCGUAUACCUGACCAAGAACGACACUGAACUCGAGAUUGAUUCGUUGCCAUCGCUGUGUACUAUGUUGUCUCGAAGAAACCAUGCCCUCCAUAUGAGGAGCAGAAUUUUUGCAAUCGUUUCUUCAUCACAACUGCUGAGGAGCACUUGCAACCAAUCACUCCCAGUGUGCCAAAAGGCCUUCUCUUUCGGAAUGUUCCAGUGCACUCACAUAGCUUGUCGGAGGGCCUUGCUUUUUGUACAUGAGACCACCGCAUGGUACUCAUUUUCUUCAGCACUUUCACAAAUGUCACAAAUAUGAAUUGUGGUUCAUUUUUCUUUGUUGCAUUGUUGUAUAGAUGAAUUUGUGUUAUAUGAUUGAAGUGCAUGGAUUUGCAUGAAUUUGAGGGUUUUGACCUGAGGAGUGUGGUUAUUCGGUAAGCCUUUUGAGGGGUCGUCCUACACUGUCCAGAGUUGUGCGCGGGCGCGUCUGUGGAUGUUUAGGGGGCGGAUUUAUGUAGUCCGGUUGUAGAUGCUCUUACAAACAGGGUUGGGUAGCACAUAUAUUUUAUUUCUGUACCGCGAUGGAAAUCAAGCAAUACUAGUAAGUUUUUCUUUACAUACAAUUUUUUAAUAGUAUACAAUAGGAUAUUCUCCUACUUCCCCAUAAAAAACAAGAGUUUUAUUUCUCUGUUGUUCCAAUUCGCAAUCGUUGAUUUGUCCUUGUUUAUUGCAAUAGUAUUUACUUUUGGGUUGCUUAAACCAUAGAUGGGCACCACAAAGCGUCAACAGUUCUUCAACAAUUGCAUAACCUGCUGUCGAAACAAAUGUCACAAGGGGUGGAAAUAAAUGGCCACAACAACUGUCAUGUUAAGUUUGGUGAAAAAAAUGAUGUCUGGGCCACACAUCAUGUUCAUUUGCGGUCCUUCUAUAAAAUGUUCAUUUGCGGUCCUUCUAUAAAUAACUACUAUCUUACUUGUGCAGCAGAAUAACAUUUAGUUGCUAGAGGGAGAAACCAUGACCAAGUGGGUGAGGAAGGCAACAAUGAUGAGUAUGAUGAGUGUCACCGGUCAAUUCCCCAUGUAAUGAGAUGCAUUCGGAAUUUGAUUGGAACUCUGAUGAGCAUGAUGAGUGGUACGAUUGGAACUUAGGGCUAGUUCUUUUGAGCUAUGCUGUGGAAAUAAACUCUAGAUAAGCUCCUGUGGAAAUAAGAUCCAGAUAAUAAGCUAGCCAGUUCUUUUCAAUGCCUGUUUUUUCAGCUUAUUUGUUGUAUGGCCAGUAAAAGGUCUGUAAUGCCCUUGGACUAUAUGGUUCCUGAUUAAAUGAUAUCGUGUUAUUUUUAUCAUUUUGCUGCUCGAAUGAACAUAAAUUCGACUUCAAAACACCACAAUAUGUUACAAUCAAACAUAAUAAAGAUCAUUGAAGAUAAUAUGCUUGCAACAACGCAAAAGUCAAGUUCAUCAUUGAAGAUAAUAUGUCUCGCCGGACUGGGUCGCUCCUGGAGUGGGGCGCCGACGACACGAGCUGCUGCAGGCCACCGGGGAAGGUAGGGGUCGUGCCCGAGGUUGUAGAAGCGACGAAAGAUGGGCUCCUACCCUCCGGUCAUGCCGCCGAAGCUAGCCGCGACGCCGAGCAGAUGAGCCGGGGACCGGUGGCGGCGGCAACAGGAACCCUAGCCUGUGCGGGAGCGAGUCGGUGGAUCAGGGCGGUUUUUUUUUUCCUUCACAAAAGAAAUGGCCCUUACUUGCGUCAGGAAUGUUGGAAGAAUGUACUCCUACCUCUCUAUCCUCUUUGCUUUUGCGACUUGGAGGUGCCGUCAACUGUUGCAACUUUCAGCAUUACUCUCUUGUGGGGCAAAAAAGAAAAUCCAAAUCAGCCACUGAAUGUUGUUGAUACUGAUUCGGUUUUCAACAAUGGGAUAGGGCGAAAACUGUUGACAUAAUGUGAACAGGACAGAGCAAAAACCUGUUACGAUCAGAAUUUAUUCAUAUUCAACAAAUACAAACAUACAACUCAACUUUUCUUCCCGCAUGUUUACAGUCAAAAGUCAAUCAAUGUACAGCCAUCCCACCAAAAUACAGAAGUCGAUAUACAGCCACAAGAAAAAGACCAAACGUCCACUGUUAUUUCAGUUCACGGCACAGGCAACCCAGCGAAUGGCCGUC
This 34851-nucleotide long non-coding RNA is filed under the name Triticum aestivum (bread wheat). RNAcentral describes it as "long non-coding RNA (TAES_LNC012877)". The stretch from base 26020 to 26091 matches the Rfam family "tRNA". Lineage: Eukaryota; Viridiplantae; Streptophyta; Magnoliopsida; Poales; Poaceae. The record is from RNAcentral.